Molecule: ribosomal RNA, 462 nt
Filed under: uncultured bacterium
Lineage: Bacteria
Description: partial 16S ribosomal RNA
Rfam family: Bacterial small subunit ribosomal RNA
Source: RNAcentral
GACGAACGCUGGCGGCGUGCUUAACACAUGCCAGUCGAGCGGUAAGGCCUUUCGGGGUACACGAGCGGCGAACGGGUGAGUAACACGUGGGUGAUCUGCCCUGCACUUCGGGAUAAGCCUGGGAAACUGGGUCUAAUACCGGAUAUGACCUCCUAUCGCAUGGUGGGUGGUGGCAAGAUUUAUCGGUGCAGGAUGGGCCCGCGGCCUAUCAGCUUGUUGGUGGGGUAAGGGCCUACCAAGGCGACGACGGGUAGCCGACCUGAGAGGGUGACCGGCCACACUGGGACUGAGACACGGCCCAGACUCCUACGGGAGGCAGCAGUGGGGAAUAUUGCACAAUGGGCGAAAGCCUGAUGCAGCGACGCCGCGUGAGGGAUGACGGCCUUCGGGUUGUAAACCUCUUUCAGCAGGGACGAAGCGCAAGUGACGGUACCUGCAGAAGAAGCACCGGCUAACUACGUG